RNAcentral lists this long non-coding RNA (3889 nucleotides) under Canis lupus familiaris (dog). RNAcentral's name for it is "lncRNA (ENSCAFG00000053410.1)". Lineage: Eukaryota; Metazoa; Chordata; Mammalia; Carnivora; Canidae. The record is from RNAcentral.
ACACAGUGAUGUGUUGUAUGAAGAGUAUGGACUUGUUUGGAAAGCAAAGAGGGGACAGUUGGCCAUAGAAUUUGGCUGUGUAGGUUCUAGGAAUGUCUCAAAUAUUUUUUUUCCCAAUUUGAGCAGUAUUUUCCUAAUCAUGGGUUACUCCUUACUCACUUCUACUCUACACAGAAGUUGCUUAUGGUUUUUAAACCAUAAAGUACAUGGAGAAGUAUCAGUUCCCAGUAAGGAAAGAACAAAUGUUUCACUGGUCUGUGGAAAAAAAAAAAAAACUAUGUAUUUUUAGUUGUUCUUGGUCUUUGUCCUAGACCAUUUAGAACCAAAAUGGAACUAGGGAUUUUAGAAGGAAAUUGUGGAUCUUUGGUUCUGUGUUGGUAAUAUGGCCUACUAUGCUUUCCACAAUGAGACCCCCACUUGGGUGUGAGAGCCCUGGUCAUUGAAGGGAUAGUACUUCAUUCACCCACCUACCCAACUUUAACAGGAUGAGUAAUCCUCCAUUCCAAGGAAGAAAUGUCAUUAGGGGUUCCGUAUAGUGAGUGGUAAGGGUGCUGGGAAGAGAUCCCAUGAGCAUUCUGCACCAGCCCUCCCAGAGCAUGAAGAAGCCAGUGUAACAUAGGAACACAGGAGAUGACAUGAAAGGAGGGCAUUCCUGACGGAUGGGCUUUCUAGUUGGCAGAGGACAAGACACCAGGUCUUCUGCAGCAUUGAGUCCUUGCCAUGUGCUGAUGUGCAGUACCAUGCAGAGCUACUACUGUCACCAGAAUUUCCCAACAGCACCUUCAGCAUAAUAAGGAUUUAAAUUUUCAUUCUCAAAUACAAUUUCCAAUAUGAGAAUUCCAGGAGUCUUAGGUGGAAACUACUCUGCUUCAUUGGUUGGAACUAAACAUUAUUCAUUGUGAGGUAGUCAGCAGAAUUAUUUCCUUUGGGGAAAAGCCAUAUCCAUGAGUUGCUAAGAAUGAUUCUUAAAUGAGAUUCACUUUGCAACUUGGUCAGAGUCCAUUCUGGCCAUUGGAAACCACAUACUGAGUGAUUUGUGAUUUGGCUGUUUCUCAGCAGCAUGCUGACUAGGAAUGACUUCUUCUUAAUGCAGCUGAGCACUAUGUUGCACAGGGGCCCAGGAUGCUUAAUGAAGGAUAACCAGGAGGAUGCUGGGUUGUAUAUGAGAACCAGUGAGGCACUGUGUGUAGGAAAGAUUUCCUCUGAAACAUCCGAGACCCACCAACAUUCCCUGACCUGGUGCCCUUAGAAUUGAGCCUCCCAUCAGAUCCCAUGCCAUGGCCUUCACAGAGUCCAGUGUUGCCCUGACUGACAAUGAAGUAGGGCAGAAAGGCAGGCAUGUCAUUGCAGUGUGAGCUGUCAACGAGGCAUGACUCUCUGAAGUAGACUUGAGUUCCCUAAUUUGUAUAAACCAGUGACUUUGACCACCCUUUCUGUGACUAAGUAAAUCACACAAUGCACAGAAGUCCCAGUAUCUUUUACCACCAUUUCUAGAUGGCCUACUGAAAAGAUAGAGUGGGGAGGGAUGGCCCCAACAAGGUUGGUGGGAGGACAGAUGCUCCAGGAGUGGGUGUAAGCAGUGGUCUGGAUAGAGGGAGAUUCCCCAGCUGUUGCUGGUGUUCCAUUUUCUCCAAUUGAUUUGACUCGUUGGCAUAUUGCCAGGGUCACUCAUUUUCUCAUUAUUCAUUUGUCUUUGACCAAAAGCAGAUGGUAUGGGCCCCUCCCCUGUUGAAGGGUAAACUAGAAUUUACCCAGUUUAUACAGUUUAUCCUAACUGAAUCCAUCAGUCCCCUGAUUUGGCCCUGGCUGUGUCUGCAGUCUCUCUCCAACCUCCCUCACUGACUCUCGGGUCUCCAAAUCACCAGCCUCUUCCUUGACUUAGUCUUCAAAAGUGUGCCCCCACCUCUUCCCUUCCAAGACCUUUGUCUAACUGACUGUUCUACUCAGCCUGGAGGUCUCAAAGAGAAAGGUCUUCCCUGACAGCUGGAGCCCAGCAUUUUCCUCUUGCCAGUAUCAUGACCUUUAAUUAUGUAGUGAUUUACACGAGUGCAUGUUUACAUUAUGAUUUUUUUAUUAGAUGCUACACUCCAUGAAGGCAGAUCCACGUCUAUCCCCCUUUUUUCCGAUAGCCCAGCAUGUGCCUGAAUGGCUGUGCUGACCUUAUCUGCCAAGGAUCCUGUUGCUCAGAGAGCUGGCAUCUACCUGGGGAGACACACAGGUAAACAGAGAGUCCUGCAGGCACCAGCAUACUUAGGCUCUUCUUCUUCAUCCAUGGUCUUCUCCUUUCCUCCAGUAAAUUAAUAUAGACUCUUAACCUCGUAUAGGACAUGGGGUUAAGAGACAAAAGGAAAAGGCUGGCAGAGAGUCAGGUAUAAAAUCAAAGAAGCAAAUGCUUGCUGUUAUUUGUCACAGUGCUUGAUACAUGUAAGAUAUGGGGUGAAAUCAGCUCUAAACACACUCUUGGUGCUCCUUGGUACUGAGCCCCUUCCAGAGGACCCCAAAGUGGUGGUGUCUGAGCAGUCCACAUUUGCAGGAGCUUCCAGCCUUGCUCCUUGGCCACUUCCCCCGCCCCCCCAGGAGUCUUUAAGUAAGUUCUGCCCUCCCCACAUAAGAAUAGUACACUAUACAUUUUCUUGAGAAAAGUUCACACAGAGCCAAGACAUGAAAACAUUUUAAAACUUUUAAUUUAAAUUCAAUUUAGUUAACAUAUAUUGUAUUAUUAGUUUCGGGCAUAGAAUUUAGUGGUUCAUCAGUUGCAUAUAAAAUAGAACUACCCUACAACCCAGCAAUUGCACUACUAGAUAUUUAUCAAAAGGUUACAAACAUAGUGAUUCGAAGAGGCCCAUGCACCCCAAUGUUUAUAGCAGCAAGGUCCACAAUAGCCAAAGUAUGCAAAGAGCCCAGAUGUCCAUUGACUGAUGAAUGAAUAAAGAAGACGUGGUGUAUAUGCACAGUGGAAUACUACUCAGCCAUCGGAAAGAAUGAAAUCUUGCCAUUUGCAAGAACAUGAAGAUUUUUAAAAUCUUCUACUAAAGAUUAAAAAGACUGUCAUAAUUAAUGUAGUGUAAGGAAGCUAAAGGGCUGGACCUCAAAAUAUUCACAUAAAUGAUACUAACGAACCCUGAUAAACUUAUUUUUUAAUAUCAGGAUCUAUUAUUUGAACGAUUGAAUAAUCUUUCAGGAGGGUUGCAAAAAGCUGUAUUCAGCUUGGAAGUAUACUUGGUGUCACUUCUCUGUGCCUGUUGGGUAAUAAGAUCCCAGACAGGAAUACAAAGCUAACUAUUCUGUUUAACCUUUCUUUCCCGGGCUAAAGAUGUUUUGCUGAGACAUUAAUAUACAGGCAAGUUGAUUCUUCAUUAAGUAAUGUAUUAAUCUUAACAUAUAUGAAUAUAUCAUAUAUAUUUAAUAUGUUUUUAUAUCUUUUCUCUCAUACAGAAAUGAAUUUCUUAGACUAAUUGGACAUCUUUGCACUUAAAGUAAUAGAAUCUGGCAAGAGCUUUUGGCAAAAAUAUAUGUAUCACAUCAUUUUUAUCCACAUUUAUCUAUCAAUGGACACUUCAGUUGCUCUAAUUUCUUAGCUAUUAUAAAUGCUGCAAUAAAAAUUGGGGCAUAUAUCUUUUCCAAUUUUGCAUAUAUUUUUUCAAAUUAGCAUUUUUGUUUUAUUUGGGUAAAUACCCAGUAGUGCUAUUCCUGCAUCAUAUGGUAAUUCUGUUUUUUAAGGCACUUCCAUCCUGUUUUCCACAAUGGUUGCAUCAUCUUACAUCCCCACCAAAAGCAUAUAAGGGUUCCUUUUUCUCCAUGUCCUUGCCGAAAUUUGUUAUUUUUUGUGUUUUAGAUUCCAGCCAUUCUUACAGGUAUAAGGUGAUAUCACUUUGUGCUUACAAAAUAA